Molecule: ribosomal RNA, 549 nt
Filed under: uncultured bacterium
Lineage: Bacteria
Description: bacterial SSU rRNA
Rfam family: Bacterial small subunit ribosomal RNA
Source: RNAcentral
UGGGGAAUUUUGGACAAUGGGGGCAACCCUGAUCCAGCCAUUCCGCGUGAGUGAAGAAGGCCUUCGGGUUGUAAAGCUCUUUUGUCCGGAGCGAAACGGUCGUGGUGAAUAUCCGCGACUACUGACGGUACCGGAAGAAUAAGCACCGGCUAACUACGUGCCAGCAGCCGCGGUAAUACGUAGGGUGCGAGCGUUAAUCGGAAUUACUGGGCGUAAAGCGUGCGCAGGCGGUUUUGUAAGCCAGAUGUGAAAUCCCCGGGCUUAACCUGGGAAUGGCAUUUGGGACUGCAAGGCUCGAGUAUGGCAGAGGGGGCUAGAAUUCCUGGUGUAGCAGUGAAAUGCGUAGAUAUCAGGAGGAAUACCGAUGGCGAAGGCAGGCCCCUGGGUUAAUACUGACGCUCAUGCACGAAAGCGUGGGGAGCAAACAGGAUUAGAUACCCUGGUAGUCCACGCCCUAAACGAUGUCGACUGGUUGUUGGGGGUUUGACACUCUCAGUAACGAAGCUAACGCGUGAAGUCGACCGCCUGGGGAGUACGGCCGCAAGGUUA